This 378-nucleotide unclassified non-coding RNA is filed under the name sugarcane isolate 22-19-6S. RNAcentral describes it as "partial intergenic spacer". The stretch from base 36 to 109 matches the Rfam family "tRNA". The record is from RNAcentral. Lineage: Bacteria; Pseudomonadati; Pseudomonadota; Gammaproteobacteria; Lysobacterales; Lysobacteraceae.
CCCGACUGGCUCCACCACUGUCAGCACGAUUCAUUGGGUCUGUAGCUCAGGUGGUUAGAGCGCACCCCUGAUAAGGGUGAGGUCGGUGGUUCGAGUCCUCCCAGACCCACCACUCUGGAUGUCUUGAUUGCGCAUACGAAUUUCAAAGUUUGAGCGCGGGCGUUGAGGCCUGUGUUCUGCUCUUUAACAACUUGUGAUGUAGCGAGCGUUUUAGAUGAUCAUCUAGACGUGUCGUGAGGCUAAGGCGGGGGAGUGAUCCCCUGAAAAUUGAGUCGUUAUAUUCGCGCCGGGGCUUUGUACCCCCUGGCAACAGCACAGGAUCCGUCCGGUGCUGAAAAAGGACCUCGAGGCAACUUGAGGUUAUAUGGUCAAGCGAAU